GACAGAGGGUGCAAACGUUGUUCGGAAUUACUGGGCGUAAAGCGCGUGUAGGCGGCUAUGCAAGUCGGAUGUGAAAGCCCUCGGCUCAACCGGGGAAGUGCACCCGAAACUGCAAAGCUAGAGUCUCGGAGAGGAUCGUGGAAUUCUCGGUGUAGAGGUGAAAUGCGUAGAUAUCUGGAGGAACACCGGUGGCGAAGGCGGCAUCCUGGACCGGUAUUGACGCUGAGGCGCGAAAGCCAGGGGAGCAAACGGG
RNAcentral lists this ribosomal RNA (253 nucleotides) under uncultured bacterium. RNAcentral's name for it is "partial 16S ribosomal RNA". It matches the Rfam family "Bacterial small subunit ribosomal RNA", at positions 524 to 776 of the family's 1533-position model. The record is from RNAcentral.